AUCAUGUAUGUGUUGCCCCCACUUGGACAAAAUGGAUGCGACGAGUACAAGGCCUCGCGUCAGUUUUGUCCAUGCGGGGGAGUUCUUUAGCAACGUUGGA
Non-coding RNA from Saccoglossus kowalevskii, 100 nucleotides. Lineage: Eukaryota; Metazoa; Hemichordata; Enteropneusta; Harrimaniidae. The record is from RefSeq and is marked provisional.